This 503-nucleotide ribosomal RNA is filed under the name uncultured bacterium. Its description in RNAcentral is "partial 16S ribosomal RNA". It matches the Rfam family "Bacterial small subunit ribosomal RNA", at positions 30 to 523 of the family's 1533-position model. The record is from RNAcentral.
AUUGAACGCUGGCGGCAGGCUUAACACAUGCAAGUCGAGCGGGGUGAUGGUGCUUGCACUAUCACUUAGCGGCGGACGGGUGAGUAAUGCUUAGGAAUCUGCCUAUUAGUGGGGGACAACAUCUCGAAAGGGAUGCUAAUACCGCAUACGUCCUACGGGAGAAAGCAGGGGAUCACUUGUGACCUUGCGCUAAUAGAUGAGCCUAAGUCGGAUUAGCUAGUUGGUGGGGUAAAGGCCUACCAAGGCGACGAUCUGUAGCGGGUCUGAGAGGAUGAUCCGCCACACUGGGACUGAGACACGGCACAGACUCCCACGGGAGGCAGCAGUGGGGAAUAUUGGACAAUGGGGGGAACCCUGAUCCAGCCAUGCCGCGUGUGUGAAGAAGGCCUUAUGGUUGUAAAGCACUUUAAGCGAGGAGGAGGCUCUUUUGGUUAAUACCCAAGAUGAGUGGACGUUACUCGCAGAAUAAGCACCGGCUAACUCUGUGCCAGCCGCCGCAGUAA